Non-coding RNA from Linepithema humile (Argentine ant), 991 nucleotides. The record is from RefSeq and is a predicted model, not a curated record. Lineage: Eukaryota; Metazoa; Arthropoda; Insecta; Hymenoptera; Formicidae.
UUUGCAGAUUAGCGGAAUAACAACUUUGCGGCUGCGCACGUGGUGAGUAAGUGCGGUAUUAAGAAGAUUUGGAGGUAUGCGUAAAAUAUGCGCGAUGACCAGCGCAAGAAAGAAACAGUGAGAAAUAGUGAGAGAUGAUAUGAGGUUACGUCACGUGCGACAACAACUCCACCAUACGGCUCACUCUCGAAACUCGUGUUCCCUCUCUUUCUCUCUCUCAUGUUCAUACGCUACAUUCAGCGUACAUUUUAGCGCGUACAUUCCACGAAUCUUUUAAAUCUAAAAUUGCGCGAUCUUAUUUUUGGUAUUAUUCUGUUAUCUUUCGCACGGCGAUACUCGUGCUGCGCGGAUCGUGUGUCGGAGCAUAUUGAAUAUCAAAUGUAUCUAUGCGAUGAUAUCUAUGAGUAUUAUCUUUGUUCUUAUGUAAGUACGCGUCGAGAAUACUUAUAUCGUAUCGUACUUACGUACCAUAUAAAAUGUUGCACGAUAAUAAUCAACAGGAUUUUUGCAAGUAAAUUGCAUUUCCAUACUGAGAGGAGGAUGAGGCGUAGAACGGGCAUCGGAAAUCAGUGGAGCAACUUUAAGAUAACAGCAAUAAAAUACGCGUCGGAAGUGCCGCAUAAAAUGUCGUGACAUAAUAAUUAAUCAAAUUUUGGGUGAGUGAAUCGUGUUCUCUUAUACUGAAAGAAGGAGCAGGCUCAGGAUGAGCAUCGGGCAUCGGCAGAGAAACUUUAAGUGUACAUGGCAGAGUGUCGAAAUGCGUGUUCCGUGCGAUUCAUGUAAUAUUCUAGUUUUAUUUUUGUCAUAACAUGACAAAAUACGCGUCGGGAGUGCCGUUUAAAGUGCCGUAUGAUUAUCGUAUUCGCGCCGCGAAAUCGUGUGUGAUUGCUUUGAAGAGCACUGAGAGGAGGAAGAGGCUCAGGAGGAGCAUCAGGCGCCGGCUGAGCAACGCUUACAUCAACUUUGUGCGCGUAAUUGGUGCUACAAAAUA